This 445-nucleotide ribosomal RNA is filed under the name uncultured bacterium. RNAcentral's name for it is "partial 16S ribosomal RNA". It matches the Rfam family "Bacterial small subunit ribosomal RNA", at positions 354 to 796 of the family's 1533-position model. The record is from RNAcentral.
GUGAGGAAUAUUGGUCAAUGGGCGGGAGCCUGAACCAGCCAAGUCGCGUGAAGGAUGAAGGUUUUAUGAAUUGUAAACUUCUUUUGCAGGGGAAUAAAGUACGGUACGUGUACCGUUUUGUAUGUACUCUGCGAAUAAGGAUCGGCUAACUCCGUGCCAGCAGCCGCGGUAAUACGGAGGAUCCAAGCGUUAUCCGGAUUUAUUGGGUUUAAAGGGUGCGCAGGCGGGUUGAUAAGUCAGCGGUGAAAGUUUGCAGCUUAACUGUAAAAUUGCCGUUGAAACUGUCGAUCUUGAGUGCAAAUGAGGUAAGCGGAAUGUGUUGUGUAGCGGUGAAAUGCUUAGAUAUAACACAGAACACCGAUUGCGAAGGCAGCUUACUGGGAUGCAACUGACGCUCAUGCACGAAAGCGUGGGGAUCAAACAGGAUUAGAUACCCUGGUAGUCC